GUUAAGGCUCUGGGACCAACGCUGGGCGAACCAGCUCCGCUCCGGAGGGGUCUGCGCGGCUGGCCUCGCCCGCCCCCUAGCGGACCCGUGCGAUAGUGCAGCCUCAGCCCCAGCGCACAGCGCCGCAUCCAGACGCUGUCCGCGCGCGCAGCCUGGGAGGCGCUCCUCGCUCGCCUCCUGUACCCAUCCAGCGACCAGCCAGGCUGCGGCGAGGGGAUUCCAACCGAGGCUCCAGUGAGAGACCUCAGCUUAGCAUCACAUUAGGUGCAGCCGGCAGGCCAUCCCAACUCGGGCCGGGAGCGCACGCGUCACUGGGGCCGUCAGUCGCCGUGCAACUUCCCCGGGGGGAGUCAACUUUAGGUUCGCCUGCGGACUCGGUGCAGUGGAAGCCGCUGAACAUCCCGAGGAACUGGCACGCUGGGGGCUCUGGGCUUGUGGCCGGUAGAGGAUUCCCGCUCAUUUGCAGUGGCUCAGAGGAGGUACCUCCAACGGGGAUUUCUGGGGUGGCGGCUGAGCAACCCGAGGCCGGCGG
This 532-nucleotide long non-coding RNA is filed under the name Homo sapiens (human). RNAcentral describes it as "non-protein coding lnc-RAD18-1:1". Lineage: Eukaryota; Metazoa; Chordata; Mammalia; Primates; Hominidae. The record is from RNAcentral.